AUUUUAGGUCUGACCUGCCCAAUGAAUAGAGUUUUAAAUGGCCGCGGUAUAUUGACCGUGCAAAGGUAGCAUAAUCAUUAGUUUUUUAAUUGAAAGCUGGAAUGAAAGGUUUGAUGAGAAAAUUUCUGUCUCUAAGGAAAUUAAUUAGAAUUUUAUUUUUAAGUGAGAAAGCUUAAAUUAGCAUGGAAGACGAGAAGACCCUAUAGAGUUUUAUAUUUGCUUUAGCGGGGGGAUUUUGGUUAGAAAAUAUUUUUUUGUUAGGGUAGGUAUUUUGUUGGGGUGAUAGGAAAAUUUAGGAAACUUUUCUUGAACAAGGAACGUUUAUUUGCGAGUGAAUGAUCCUAAAAUUUAGAUUAUAAGAUUAAAUUACCUUAGGGAUAACAGCGUAAUUUUUUAAAGAGUUCUUAUCGGAAAAAAAGUUUGCGACCUCGAUGUUGGAUUAAAAUUUAGUACUGGUGCAGUAGUUAGUAUAUUGGGUCUGUUCGACCCUUAAAAUUUUACAUGAUCUGAGUUUAGACCGGCGUGAG
RNAcentral lists this ribosomal RNA (527 nucleotides) under Trigonopterus sp. 227 AR-2022a. RNAcentral's name for it is "partial large subunit ribosomal RNA". It matches the Rfam family "Bacterial large subunit ribosomal RNA", at positions 1845 to 2625 of the family's 2925-position model. The record is from RNAcentral. Lineage: Eukaryota; Metazoa; Arthropoda; Insecta; Coleoptera; Curculionidae.